RNAcentral lists this ribosomal RNA (587 nucleotides) under uncultured bacterium. Its description in RNAcentral is "bacterial SSU rRNA". It matches the Rfam family "Bacterial small subunit ribosomal RNA", at positions 338 to 916 of the family's 1533-position model. The record is from RNAcentral.
CCUACGGGAGGCAGCAGUAGGGAAUCUUCGGCAAUGGACGGAAGUCUGACCGAGCAACGCCGCGUGAGUGAAGAAGGUUUUCGGAUCGUAAAGCUCUGUUGUAAGAGAAGAACGAGUGUGAGAGUGGAAAGUUCACACUGUGACGGUAUCUUACCAGAAAGGGACGGCUAACUACGUGCCAGCAGCCGCGGUAAUACGUAGGUCCCGAGCGUUGUCCGGAUUUAUUGGGCGUAAAGCGAGCGCGGGCGGUUAGAUAAGUCUGAAGUUAAGGGCUGUGGCUUAACCGUAGUACGCUUUGGAAACUGUUUAACUUGAGUGCAAGAGGGGAGAGUGGAAUUCCAUGUGUAGCGGUGAAAUGCGUAGAUAUAUGGAGGAACACCAGUGGCGAAAGCGGCUCUCUGGUCUGUCACUGACGCUGAGGCUCGAAAGCGUGGGUAGCGAACAGGAUUAGAUACCCUGGUAGUCCACGCCGUAAACGAUGAGUGCUAGGUGUUAGGCCCUUUCCGGGGCUUAGUGCCGGAGCUAACGCAAUAAGCACUCCGCCUGGGGAGUACGACCGCAAGGUUGAAACUCAAAGGAAUUGACGG